UUAUCAAAAACAUGUCUUUUUGAAUUUUAUUUAAAGUCUAACCUGCCCAUUGAAUUUUUUAAAAGGCUGCGGUAUUUUGACCGUACAAAGGUAGCAUAAUCAUUAGUUUUUUAAUUGAAAACUUGUAUGAAUGGUUUAACGAAAUAUUUUCUGUUUCAUAAAAAUUUAUAUAGAAAUUAAUUUUUUAGUAAAAAAGCUAAAAUAUAAUUAAAAGACGAGAAGACCCUAUAGAGUUUUAUAUAAAAUAUUUUAUAAUUUAUUUAUAAAUUUUAAAAUUUUAUUUUAUUUUAUAUUUUGUUGGGGUGACAAUAAAAUUUUAUAAUCUUUUAUUAUUUAAUAACAAUUAUUUUUGAUUAAUUGAUCCAUUUUUUAUGAUUAAAAGAUUAAAUUACCUUAGGGAUAACAGCGUAAUUUUUUUGUAGAGUUCUUAUCGAUAAAAAAUUUUGCGACCUCGAUGUUGGAUUAAGAAUAAUUUUAGGUGUAGAAGCUUAUUUAAUUGGGUCUGUUCGACCUUUAAAUUCUUACGUGAUCUGAGUUCA
RNAcentral lists this ribosomal RNA (539 nucleotides) under Boletina plana. RNAcentral describes it as "partial 16S ribosomal RNA". The stretch from base 399 to 539 matches the Rfam family "Bacterial large subunit ribosomal RNA", at positions 2473 to 2613 of the family's 2925-position model. The record is from RNAcentral. Lineage: Eukaryota; Metazoa; Arthropoda; Insecta; Diptera; Mycetophilidae.